This 253-nucleotide ribosomal RNA is filed under the name uncultured bacterium. RNAcentral's name for it is "partial 16S ribosomal RNA". It matches the Rfam family "Bacterial small subunit ribosomal RNA", at positions 524 to 776 of the family's 1533-position model. The record is from RNAcentral.
UACGAAGGUCCCAAGCGUUAUCCGGAAUUAUUGGGCGUAAAGCGCAUGUAGGCGGUUUGUUAAGUCUGGUGUGAAAGCUCAAGGCCUAACCUUGAAAUUGCAUUGGAAACUGGCAAACUAGAAUACUGGAGGGGUAAGUGGAAUUCCAUGUGUAGCGGUGGAAUGCGUAGAUAUCGGGAGGAACACCAGUGGCGAAGGCGGCUACCUGGACCGGUUCUGACACUGAGGAGCGAAAGCGUGGGGAGCGAGCCGG